Molecule: ribosomal RNA, 274 nt
Filed under: uncultured bacterium
Lineage: Bacteria
Description: partial 16S ribosomal RNA
Rfam family: Bacterial small subunit ribosomal RNA
Source: RNAcentral
AUACGGAGGGGGCUAGCGUUGUUCGGAAUUACUGGGCGUAAAGCGCGCGUAGGCGGGCUGGUCAGUCAGGGGUGAAAUCCCGGGGCUCAACCCCGGAACUGCCUUUGAUACUGCCAGUCUAGAGGUCGAGAGAGGUGAGUGGAAUUCCUAGUGUAGAGGUGAAAUUCGUAGAUAUUAGGAAGAACACCAGUGGCGAAGGCGGCUCACUGGCUCGAUACUGACGCUGAGGUGCGAAAGCGUGGGGAGCAAACAGGAUUAGAUACCCUUGUAGUCC